This 1122-nucleotide long non-coding RNA is filed under the name Pan paniscus (pygmy chimpanzee). RNAcentral describes it as "lncRNA (ENSPPAG00000044997.1)". Lineage: Eukaryota; Metazoa; Chordata; Mammalia; Primates; Hominidae. The record is from RNAcentral.
CAUAGUUUGAGUUUUCAUAAGACUUCUGCACAGGCAGAGAGAAAUAAGAUCAUGUCUAUAGCUGUGUGAUGAUCAUAUUAAAAAUAUUACUAAGUUUUUAAAUAUCAUUUCAAAUGGUUCAUUUGUAUCUCACAUUGGACAUAAGUAGAUCGUAAGGUUAAUGGAAAGUAGAAAAGUUGACUGGCUUGCAUGACCAUAAAAGAGACAUUGAUCUGAAAAAGAAACAUUUAUUCAUUUACUUCAGCUGCAGUUUUCUUGACUGCUGAAUUUCAUGAAAAGGGAUUGUUCAGGGAGGGUUAUGGAGCUGAAGGUCCAGACAGGAGCUGGUGCUACCGCUGUUCAAAUCUGAAGGUAGUGGAGAUGGAGCCUUGGGGAGGAGAUGGUGCUGCAUUUUAAGUCUGAAAAUCAUUGAGCUGGAGGUCCACGGAGGAGCCGGUGCUGCCACUGAUGUCUUAGGUUGUAGAGCUGAAGACCAGUUAAGGAGCUGGUGUUGCUGUUCUUCUGUGAGGGUCGUGGAGCUGGAGAUCCAGUGGGGAGAGGUGUUCUAAUUUGAGGGUCAUGCAGCUGGAGACCUGGGGAGGAGCUGAUGUUGUUCUAGUUUGAGGCUUCUGCGUCUGGAGACUCAGGUGGGAGUUGAUGUUUUACUGAUCAGAGGGUCAUGGAGCUGGAGACACAGGGAGUAGUUGAUGUUUUCCUUGUUAGAGGGUCAUGGAGCUGCAGACCCGUGGAGGAGCUGGUGCUGCUCUUGUUUAAGUCUGAGGGUCGUGGAGCUGGAGAUCCAAGGAGGAGCUGGUGCUGCUGUUGUUUAAGUCUGAGGGUCAUGGAGCUGGAGAUCCAGGGAAGAGUUGGUGCUGUGGUUCAAGUCUGAGGGUCCUGGAGCUGGAGCCCCCGGGAGGAGUAAGUACUGCCACUGAUGUCUUAGGUUUUGGAGCCGUACACAUGUGGAGAAGGUGGGCUGGUGUUCUAGUUUGAGGUUCAUGGAGCUGGAGUCCUGGUCAGGAGCCAGUGAUGCUGUUCAAGUCUGAAGUUUGUGGAGCUAAACAUGGAACCACUGUUGGGGAAGUAGAGAGAGACAGAGUUACAGGAUGCCACUUGAAACUGUAGAUGUAGCUGAAUCCCAAG